AGGAAGGAAACAAAGCUUAAGGCAGUGAUUGAUAGGUUAUUUCUUGGACACAGCUGAACGUAUACUGUGCGCCUGCAACUUUCCGGUGGUUUCGGACCGGACUUCAGUGAAGCCAGUGAAGUCGGUCGACUUGCAGAACUUCCUUUCAGAGGGGCGUACACAGCACCGCGGCCGUGUGCCUGUGAUCUCCUUCUGAGUUUGAAAAAGAAGAUCCUAGACACCGAGCCAAAUAUGUUUGCAUAAACCGGGAGACUUGUGGCUCUAUUUUGUAACAGCUUGGCGCAGGGCAGCUGGUUUGGAGAUGUCUCUGUUCUUCCCUUGGUGGGGGUGCCGGAAAAAAUGUGCUGCCUGGGCGAUCGAGGUUGGGGCAAAAGCGUUGCAAAGGAAAAGGUGGGAGGACUCUACUUUCACAUUUCCCAAAAGAGUUUUACCAUAAGACUAUUUCUGGAUUGUUCUAACGUGAGGAUAUUGGGAGCAUUUUGAAAAUACUGGAGGAAAAGCUGUCACUGGGCGAUUUAAAUCCGAUUCCCCUUGUCGGCAAAGCCAGGCGCUGAUAGCGUUAUGGCUGCCAUGAGAGUCAGCAGUAUCCCAGCUUCCAAGGAUGGGUGUAAGGUGGGGGUGAGGAAGAAAAGGAACUUGAAGCUGCCUCCUGUCCCAGAAUCACAAGACAUCUGUUAAGCCCUUACUACCUCAUUCACUCCACUCACAUUAGGUUGACCCACUUGGGCAGCAAGACAAGCAGGCCUGCAAACUUCCUUUUCUUCAUCAGCCACAGAGACAUCC
Homo sapiens (human) is the source of this 783-nucleotide long non-coding RNA. Ensembl annotates it as ST3GAL5 antisense RNA 1 (head to head). Its record names the gene ST3GAL5-AS1. The record is from Ensembl. Lineage: Eukaryota; Metazoa; Chordata; Mammalia; Primates; Hominidae.